AUAGCACAUGGGAAUGUAGUUCAAUGACAGCGUAGCCUUAACCCAUAAGAGUCGGAGGCUUUUAUUAUGAAUGAGAAAGUUGAACUCGCGGAACGAUGAACCUUACUUGCGUAGCGCAUAUAUAUAAAUAUAUAGUUGUGUAUAUGUGCUAUAUAACGUAUACAUAUCACCGUCAUCUUCGUAACACGAAGACGUAAAUCACGCGAUGACGAGUCUGGAUAUACGUCAGUAGGUAUCUUUUUGAUUUCUUCAUCUGUCACGGCAAAGUAGCACACUUAUUAUCUAUCGCAGAAAAAAUUAAUCAAAAAUUGCAAUUUAUCGAAAAUUUAUCAUUCUCUGUUGCAGAAUUAAAUAAUAAUAGCUUCUUCUAAAGAUGAUCCAUGGAAAUGAGAGAUCAAUGCCUGAAACUUAUCUAAACGAUGGCGAUAAUGAUAAGGAUUAUGCGAAACUGUAAAAUAAAAUAAUAACGCUGUUUAUUUGAUUUUAUAUAGUUUCAUCGUCAGUAUUCGCGAACGUGAUUGAACGAAAGUAUCACGCUUGCCUGAAGAUUUCGUGGAUCUCGGCAGCCCUUAGCUUGCUGUCCUUGAGUUUUGAGAAUAUUACACUCUUGACUAACAAUCUUUGGCUAACUUUUUUUAUUAGAAUGAGUUUCGCGUUCGUAGUCAGAAGAAAGACAUUGACACCUGAGAGCUGGUUGUAAAGAAGAUAAUUUAUGGAACUGCAGUGCGUGACCUAGUGCCGUUGCAAACGUUCUACCUUCGAACUAGGUCUUUCACGUUCCCAACUAAGUCCACAUCAAGUUGCAGUGAGUGUAUACAGCCCCUGCUUUCUGUAUUUGUUGUAUUAUAUACAAUUCGGUGUCAAUGACUUGGCUGGCAGAACAGAACUGGUAAUAAAAAUUCCACUACUCAUCUUCUAGAAAUUUUUAUUCCAUCAAUAACUGUAAAUUGGCAAACCAAGUGGCAGAAUAUUGAUAAAAUCAUAACUGUUGUCUUCACCAGAGAGUAAAUUCACCAAACCAAAGUUUUAAGUGUAAAAACUAGAUAAAAUGCAGGAAAUGGAAGAAACGGAAGCGGCGGAAAUGCUGGCAUAAUAUUUACACGAUAUACCAAAGGGAGAGCUUCCGUUAAAUCAGACGCCAGUGGAAGACAGAAUUAGUUAGAAGGAAAUGAUCGAGGCUAGAUUAAUAUGUACACAUGUGGACGGUAAACACCUAGCCAGUCCAGGAGAUGGUGUGGAGAGCUAAAGGAAAAUUAAUCAGUGAGCAAAAGAGAACGAAAGAGCUGGAAAAAAACGAGUGACGAGUGAAGUCUACUCAGUAGUGAGGAUUUCUGGCGAGUCAAGACUCAAGAGUGAGCGUAAAGUAAACUAGUGCACCGACCUGGUGGGCACGCAACCGCGAUGUAAGAGUAUUUUCAAGGGUUAACGAACUCCCGGAGCGCGUCGCGGAAAGUGAAGAAAUGAAGAAGAAAAAAUAAAUAUAAGGCUGCUCAACUAAUUUCACGCGAAUUAUCAUUCAAGAUAAUUAAGGGAAAAUAAUUCUAAUGGAGCUGAAGAAGAACUCUUGUUCUUAUUGCUGAAGAAAUAAUACAAGAAAUAUUAUUUAAUUAAAAUGUUUUAUGAUUAUAAAGAUAAAGGCGGCUAAACAAAACUCAUAAAGUUAUGAGCAAGGUGAAGGUAAAGGCAAACUGCAAAUUAGGUAAAAAUAAGUCUCAGCUAAGCUAAGUAGUGCAAGCGUAAGAGUGCUUCGAGAGGUCAGUAACCACUCGGCGCUCCGUUCCGUUCCGGUUACCCGUUGGUAGCUUCACGGCCAAUCGAGGGAGGGAUACUUUACCAUCACUACUCUCUCAAAGUAUUUGCUGGUUCAGAAUUAUUAUGUAAAAGCCUCCUACCAAUAUCUAUAUAUCUUCAUUGUAUUUAUAUAUAUGUAUUUAUAUAUAUUAUUCUGUUAACGGUCGCUAUUUUAACUUUUAUUUGGAUUGUCAUAAAAAUAACACUCCGGGAUUUUAUUCACUUUAUCUUUUAUUCAUUGUUAAUAUUGUUAUUAUUUUUUUAAGAUUUUAAACACUGACAAGUUUAAUGUUUUAUCGUUAACACUUAUUUACGUUAAGUAAUAUCGCCCGCAUUAAGUACCCACAUUACAUUUGCGUAAUAACACUUGAUAAAAUUUAUUUGCAAGGGUUUUUUAAUCAAUAAGUUAUUUAUGGAAUUUUGUUUUGGAGCUUGCGGUUGGUUAGCUUACGAACGCUUAGAGACUUUAACGCUUGCACGAGAAAUAUUUUUGUAUUUUUCGCCGGAGAUUUUAAUAAUUAAUGAGAG
Molecule: long non-coding RNA, 2319 nt
Filed under: Cotesia glomerata
Lineage: Eukaryota; Metazoa; Arthropoda; Insecta; Hymenoptera; Braconidae
Description: uncharacterized LOC123259903, transcript variant X1
Source: RNAcentral